AAUCUAGAACAAAAUAUCAGCCAAUGUUUUGAACAAGUCAAUAAAAUGGAUCAACAUAUAGAAUACAAAAUAAAGACUAUAGAAAAAGCUCAGAAUGUUGCUGCUUACAACGCAUUACUGGAAGAAGUCCACAAUAUAUCAGAGAAAGUAAAGGAAACAGACAGCGAUGUUGAUAAAAGAAUACUCAGUUUACAGUCGAACCAAAGUAACA
Molecule: long non-coding RNA, 211 nt
Organism: Mytilus trossulus (common blue mussel)
Lineage: Eukaryota; Metazoa; Mollusca; Bivalvia; Mytilida; Mytilidae
Exons: 3
Source: RefSeq, a predicted model, not a curated record